Molecule: ribosomal RNA, 253 nt
Filed under: uncultured bacterium
Lineage: Bacteria
Description: partial 16S ribosomal RNA
Rfam family: Bacterial small subunit ribosomal RNA
Source: RNAcentral
UACAGAGGCCCCGAGCGUUGUUCGGAAUUACUGGGCGUAAAGGGAAUGUAGGUGGCUAUAUAAGUCAGAUGUGAAAUCCCCGGGCUUAACCCGGGAACUGCAUUUGAUACUGCAUAGCUCGAGUGCGGAAGAGGAGAGCGGAAUUCCCAGUGUAGGAGUGAAAUCCGUAGAUAUUGGGAGGAAUACCGAUGGCGAAGGCAGCUCUCUGGUCCGUAACUGACACUGAGAUUCGAAAGCGUGGGUAGCAAACAGG